UUAUUAUUUAUGGUUCUGUAUUAUUUCGCAGCGCUUGUGAUCGUGCCGACACGAGAACUGGCACUACAGACUAGUCAGAUCUGCAUAGAACUUGCGAAACAUAUGGACAUUAAAGUUAUGGUCACAACUGGCGGAACUAACCUAAGAGAUGAUAUUAUGAGGAUUUAUCAGAAAGUUCAUGUGAUUAUUGCGACACCAGGUCGAAUUUUAGACCUCAUGGACAAAAAUGUCGCAAUU
Non-coding RNA from Zootermopsis nevadensis, 237 nucleotides. The record is from RefSeq and is a predicted model, not a curated record. NCBI's taxonomy places the organism in Eukaryota, Metazoa, Arthropoda, Insecta, Blattodea, Termopsidae.